RNAcentral lists this ribosomal RNA (532 nucleotides) under Salmonella enterica subsp. enterica serovar Paratyphi B str. SPB7. Its description in RNAcentral is "SSU rRNA". It matches the Rfam family "Bacterial small subunit ribosomal RNA", at positions 26 to 547 of the family's 1533-position model. Lineage: Bacteria; Pseudomonadati; Pseudomonadota; Gammaproteobacteria; Enterobacterales; Enterobacteriaceae. The record is from RNAcentral.
AGAUUGAACGCUGGCGGCAGGCCUAACACAUGCAAGUCGAACGGUAACAGGAAGCAGCUUGCUGCUUCGCUGACGAGUGGCGGACGGGUGAGUAAUGUCUGGGAAACUGCCUGAUGGAGGGGGAUAACUACUGGAAACGGUGGCUAAUACCGCAUAACGUCGCAAGACCAAAGAGGGGGACCUUCGGGCCUCUUGCCAUCAGAUGUGCCCAGAUGGGAUUAGCUAGUUGGUGAGGUAACGGCUCACCAAGGCGACGAUCCCUAGCUGGUCUGAGAGGAUGACCAGCCACACUGGAACUGAGACACGGUCCAGACUCCUACGGGAGGCAGCAGUGGGGAAUAUUGCACAAUGGGCGCAAGCCUGAUGCAGCCAUGCCGCGUGUAUGAAGAAGGCCUUCGGGUUGUAAAGUACUUUCAGCGGGGAGGAAGGUGUUGUGGUUAAUAACCACAGCAAUUGACGUUACCCGCAGAAGAAGCACCGGCUAACUCCGUGCCAGCAGCCGCGGUAAUACGGAGGGUGCAAGCGUUAAUCG